Molecule: ribosomal RNA, 274 nt
Filed under: uncultured bacterium
Lineage: Bacteria
Description: partial 16S ribosomal RNA
Rfam family: Bacterial small subunit ribosomal RNA
Source: RNAcentral
AUACGGAGGGUCCAAGCGUUAUCCGGAAUCAUUGGGCUUAAAGGGUCCGCAGGCGGUCAAUUAAGUCAGAGGUGAAAGCCCAUCGCUCAACGAUGGAACUGCCUUUGAUACUGGUUGACUUGAGUUAUACGGAAGUAGAUAGAAUAAGUAGUGUAGCGGUGAAAUGCAUAGAUAUUACUUAGAAUACCGAUUACGAAGGCAGUCUACUACGUAUAUACUGACGCUGAGGGACGAAAGCGUGGGGAGCGAACAGGAUUAGAUACCCCAGUAGUCC